This 497-nucleotide ribosomal RNA is filed under the name uncultured bacterium. RNAcentral describes it as "partial 16S ribosomal RNA". It matches the Rfam family "Bacterial small subunit ribosomal RNA", at positions 28 to 507 of the family's 1533-position model. The record is from RNAcentral.
GAUGAACGCUGGCGGCGUGCCUAAUACAUGCAAGUCGAGCGAACAGACGAGGAGCUUGCUCCUCUGACGUUAGCGGCGGACGGGUGAGUAACACGUGGAUAACCUACCUAUAAGACUGGGAUAACUUCGGGAAACCGGAGCUAAUACCGGAUAAUAUAUUGAACCGCAUGGUUCAAUAGUGAAAUACGGUUUUGCUGUCACUUAUAGAUGGAUCCGCGCCGCAUUAGCUAGUUGGUAAGGUAACGGCUUACCAAGGCAACGAUGCGUAGCCGACCUGAGAGAGUGAUCGGCCACACUGGAACUGAGACACGGUCCAGACUCCUACGGGAGGCAGCAGUAGGGAAUCUUCCGCAAAGGGCGAAAGCCUGACGGAGCAACGCCGCGUGAGUGAUGAAGGUCUUCGGAUCGUAAAACUCUGUUAUUAGGGAAGAACAAAUGUGUAAGUAACUAUGCACGUCUUGACGGUACCUAAUCAGAAAGCCACGGCUAACUACGUG